CUUUAUGUGCACUUUCUUCGUUCUUUUCUUUUUAUGAUAUCGUUUUUAAGAUUCGAAUAUGAUAAAAUGUUGUGCAGAUAAAUGAAUCGUUGGUAGUGGAGAUGCUAAGGACGAAUCAUGUAAAAUGGUGGUAAGAAUCAAAGCUGAUACGUUGGUGAUGGGAUGCCAUGAUUUUGGUUUCUCCAAAAGUUCUAGGAAGUGUGAGUGAUCACUGUGCCAAGCGUGUUAAAUGUGCAGUGGUGAUCGUGAAGCACCAGAAGAAGUUUCUUAUCCCUUCUGCUUCCAUGAAUAUCGUCACAUGGUUUCUGCAACCUUGUGUACUUAUCGUCUACUUGUCGAUUCCAGGAGUAAUAAAUCUACUGAAUUCCACAUAAUGGGCUGUACGACCAAAGUAGUUGAAUAUCAGUAUAUAUUUGCACAAUGUUCCCCUUUCAUCAAUUUUUAUAACAUCUUUUAUAUGAA
Molecule: long non-coding RNA, 462 nt
Organism: Hibiscus syriacus
Lineage: Eukaryota; Viridiplantae; Streptophyta; Magnoliopsida; Malvales; Malvaceae
Exons: 2
Source: RefSeq, a predicted model, not a curated record